This 771-nucleotide ribosomal RNA is filed under the name uncultured Neocallimastigales. RNAcentral's name for it is "partial large subunit ribosomal RNA". It matches the Rfam family "Eukaryotic large subunit ribosomal RNA", at positions 26 to 637 of the family's 3401-position model. Lineage: Eukaryota; Fungi; Neocallimastigomycota; Neocallimastigomycetes; Neocallimastigales. The record is from RNAcentral.
CGCAUCUGUGCAUGCAGCAUAUCAAUAAGCGGAGGAAAAGAAACUAACAAGGAUUCCCUCAGUAACGGCGAGUGAAGCGGGAAGAGCUCAAAUUUGAAAUCUUGAAAGGUCACCUUUCACGAAUUGUAGUUUAAAGAAGUGUUUUCUGUUACGAUCGUAAUAUAAGUUCUUUGGAAUAGGACAUCACAGAGGGUGAGAAUCCCGUCUAUGAUUGCGAUUUGUAGCUUUGUGAUACACUUUCAAAGAGUCGGGUUGUUUGGGAAUGCAGCCCAAAACGGGAGGUAAAUUUCUUCUAAGGCUAAAUAUUGGCGAGAGACCGAUAGCGAACAAGUACCGUGAGGGAAGGAUGAAAAGAACUUUGAAAAGAGAGUUAAAUAGUACGUGAAAUUGUCAAAAGGGAAGCGUUUAACACCAGUGUUGUUUUCUGAAAAUCAACCUCUGUUAGCUUUAUGCAUGUUUGUUUAGACCUAAUCAGCUAUCUUGCAUGUUCUAUUGUUUGCAGUGGUGCACUUUUCAGUUUACAGGUCAACAUCAGUUUUUUUUACCGUAAAAAAGUUAAAGAAAGGUAGCUCAUGGCUCCGGUCGUGAGUGUUAUAGUCUUUUUCCUAUGCGGUAGGAGAGACUGAGGUCUGCAGUGUAGGCUAUUUGGCUAGAUACUCAGGUGCUAUGUGAUACCAUUUCAUAAACAACUUGUUGAUUAUGUUUUGUCUAUUGCAUACUCGCUUGUACUAUCAUACCUACGCUUAGGAUGUUGACGAUCAGCUGAGCGCG